Molecule: long non-coding RNA, 559 nt
Filed under: Panax ginseng (ginseng)
Lineage: Eukaryota; Viridiplantae; Streptophyta; Magnoliopsida; Apiales; Araliaceae
Description: long non-coding RNA (PGIN_LNC009282)
Source: RNAcentral
AACAAAGACACCGUCUGGUCACAAUUAGAGGAAAUUCUCCUCUAUAAAUUUCCUCAUUAGGGCUCUCCAAGUUCAUUCAAACUAUACAAUAUAUAUAUAUAUAUAGAACCCUAAAAUUUCAUAUUUCAAUAUUCUCUAGCUAGCUAGCUUUUAUAUAUAUAUAUAUAUACCCAGCUUCAGUUUUAUAAAAAUAAUCAUGACAUCGAGUACUGGAGCUAGCUAUGCUUUGAUUUACAUGCAGCAAAAGAGACUUGAUGAAAAAAUGAAGAGAAUGCAAAAGGAGAAAGAAAAUGCAGUCAAAGGAAGAUUCACCCUUGCACUUAUCCGUUCUCGGAGUUCUGCAGCAGCAGCUCAACAGAAACAAGAAAAAUGAGAUUAAUUAGUUUUGAUUAAUUAAAAUCUUUGCUUGACACAUGCAUGAUUUGUAUGGUAUUAUGGCUUAAUUUGUAUGUGCAAACUUGCAAGAUAUGCUUGAUAAAUAAAGUAGUGCAUGUGUUUAGUUUAUUGUCCAAUUUCUCCACGGUUGCUCGUGCGUGCUAAUUUCUUAUAUAUAUUGCAC